GUGCCAGCAGCCGCGGUAAUACGUAGGGGGCCAGCGUUGCUCGGAAUUACUGGGCGUAAAGGGUUCGUAGGUGGUGCGGCAAGUUGGAAGUGAAAUCUCUGGGCUUAACCCAGAGGCUGCUUUCAAAACUGCCGCGCUCGAGUGCGAGAGAGGUCAGUGGAAUUGCAGGUGUAGCGGUGAAAUGCGUAGAUAUCUGCAGGAACACCCGUGGCGAAGGCGGCUGACUGGAUCGCAACUGACACUGAGGAACGAAAGCUAGGGGAGCAAACAGGAUUAGAAACCCCCGUAGUCC
RNAcentral lists this ribosomal RNA (292 nucleotides) under uncultured bacterium. Its description in RNAcentral is "partial 16S ribosomal RNA". It matches the Rfam family "Bacterial small subunit ribosomal RNA", at positions 505 to 796 of the family's 1533-position model. The record is from RNAcentral.